This 328-nucleotide ribosomal RNA is filed under the name uncultured eukaryote. Its description in RNAcentral is "partial 18S ribosomal RNA". It matches the Rfam family "Eukaryotic small subunit ribosomal RNA", at positions 1470 to 1796 of the family's 1831-position model. The record is from RNAcentral.
CCCUUAGAUGUCCUGGGCCGCACGCGCGUUACACUGAUGCAUUCAACGAGCUUAUAACCUUGGCCGAGAGGCCCGGGCAAUCUUGUUAACGUGCAUCGUGAUAGGGAUAGAUUAUUGAAAUUAUUAAUCUUGAACGAGGAAUUCCUAGUAAACGCAGAUCAUCAAUCUGCAUUGAUUACGUCCCUGCCCUUUGUACACACCGCCCGUCGCACCUACCGAUUGGAUGGUCCGGUGAAGCCUCGGGAUUGUGGUUCUUGCCGCUUUAUUGUGGCGUGAUCGCGAGAACUUGUCUAAACCUUAUCAUCUAGAGGAAGGUGAAGUCGUAACA